UAUUAAAGUUGUUGCGGUUAAAAAGCUCGUAGUCGAAUUUGUGUCCCGCGCCGCCGGUUCAUCGUACGCGGUGUUAACUGGCGUGCCGCGGGACGUCCUGCCGGUGGGCCUAAGUCCGCAAGGGCGUCGGCCCGACCCAAUCCCGCCGCGGUGCUCUUCACUGAGUGUCGAGGUGGGCCGGCACGUUUACUUUGAACAAAUUAGAGUGCUUAAAGCAGGCUAAAACUUCGCCUGAAUACUGUGUGCAUGGAAUAAUGGAAUAGGACCUCGGUUCUAUUUUGUUGGUUUUCGGAACCCCGAGGUAAUGAUUAAUAGGAACGGAUGGGGGCAUUCGUAUUGCGACGUUAGAGGUGAAAUUCUUGGAUCGUCGCAAGACGGACAGAAGCGAAAGCAUU
RNAcentral lists this ribosomal RNA (395 nucleotides) under Oediopalpa guerinii. Its description in RNAcentral is "SSU rRNA". It matches the Rfam family "Eukaryotic small subunit ribosomal RNA", at positions 602 to 955 of the family's 1831-position model. The record is from RNAcentral. Lineage: Eukaryota; Metazoa; Arthropoda; Insecta; Coleoptera; Chrysomelidae. RNAcentral also lists the same sequence under 1 other name.